GACGAACGCUGGCGGCGUGCUUAACACAUGCAAGUCGAACGGAAAGGCCUCUUUCGGGGGGUACUCGAGUGGCGAACGGGUGAGUAACACGUGAGUAACCUGCCCUUGACUUUGGGAUAACUUCAGGAAACUGGGGCUAAUACCGGAUAGGAGCUCCUGCUGCAUGUUGUGGGUUGGAAAGUUUCGGCGGUUGGGGAUGGACUCGCGGCUGAUCAGCUUGUUGGUGGGGUAGUGGCUUACCAAGGCUUUGACGGGUAGCCGGCCUGGGAGGGUGACCGGCCACAUUGGGACUGAGAUACGGCCCAGACUCCUACGGGAGGCAGCAGUGGGGAAUAUUGCACAAUGGGUGGAAGCCUGAUGCAGCAACGCCGUGUGCGGGAUGACGGCCUUCGGGUUGUAAACCGCUUUCGCUCAUGACGAAGCUUUGUGUGACGGUAGUGGGUAAAGAAGCACCGGCUAACUACGUG
This 467-nucleotide ribosomal RNA is filed under the name uncultured bacterium. RNAcentral describes it as "partial 16S ribosomal RNA". It matches the Rfam family "Bacterial small subunit ribosomal RNA", at positions 28 to 507 of the family's 1533-position model. The record is from RNAcentral.